Molecule: long non-coding RNA, 501 nt
Organism: Gasterosteus aculeatus aculeatus (three-spined stickleback)
Lineage: Eukaryota; Metazoa; Chordata; Actinopteri; Perciformes; Gasterosteidae
Source: Ensembl
AUAUGUCUUUGUGUACAUCUAAUUGUUAGUGUGUCCCGAUGACGUAGCGUCCCGAUGACGUGGCGUCCUGAUGGCGUCCUGAUGGCGUCCUGUUGGUCUGCAGACAAGGAGAAGAGACAUCUGGAUUUGCUCCUGAGGGGUUGACGCGGCGUCCUGAUGGCGUCCUGUUGGUCUGCAGACAAGGAGAAGAGACAAAUGUAUUUGCUCCUGAGGGGUGGACGCGACGUCCUGAUGGACUCCUGAUGGCGUCCAGAUGACGUGGCGUCCUGAUGGCGUCCUGUUAGUCUGCAGACAAGGAGAAGAGACAUCUGGAUUUGCUCCUGAGGGGUUGACGUGACGUCCUGAUGGCGUCCCGUUGACGUGGCGUCCGGAUGGCGUCCCGUUGACGUGGCGUCCUGAUGGCGUCCUGAUGGCGUCUCGUUGGUCUGCAGACAAGGAGAAGAGACGUGAGGAGGAUCAUCAGGAUGUGAGACAAGAUUCAUAGAUCCAAUUAUUUUAAUU